UGCGUUGGGGCUUGCUGCUGCGGAGGAUGACGAAGAGGAGCAACAGCGCUCGGGCCUUCCCUAAGGAGUAGUGAACACGGCAACGCGGCUCAGAAGUUACCGCCUAAAAGCAUGAUCGGAUUUCACGUGCCUCCUCGCGGAGGAGGCGAAGGGCCCACACGCUGCUGCUCAGUGCAGUCUGAAAAACAGGAAACUGAAGUUAUCACCAAAAAUACCUAGCUUUUUCUUUCAAAGUUCUCCCUCUGCUCUUGCAGUAUUUUUGCAAAAGACAACCUCCCACCAAACGCACCAAAAAAUCAAACUCUCCAUGCACAUGCUUCAGUGACAGUUUCCAACCUGAAGUUUAGAAGAUACCAGCCACUAGGCUGAGUUUCCUAGAAGUAUUUCUAAACUGUAAACAGCUCAAUUUUUAAUGAAAUUUGAUUCCAAAACAACUAAAGAAACAGGAUCUGAUGACAUAAGGGGAAGGGAAAAAGAAAAGAGGGGGGAGGGAGAAAUUACUCUCUGUAAAAGCAGCAGUAAGUUCUUGAUGGAUGCUGAAACAAAUUACAAUAACCAUCAAGUAAGAGUCAUCUAUAGAAUACAAUGCAGGAUUCCACAUACAAAGUCUGAGGACCUAGCCAUCUGAAGAGGGAAUCUACUUCAAGAAAGGCUUCAGAAAACUUAAAAGUCCAAACAUUUAAACAGCUCAGUGGGAGUUAAUCACCUUUAAGUUAUAAAAGUAUGCUGGCAAAGCCACAUGACCACUAUGCCCUGUUUUAUGGCCAAGAUCUUGCCCUUUCCACAAGAGAAACAAGAAUUCUGAUUGACCAAGAUCCAAGGACAGAAUAACCUCCUAUGAGAAGUUACAGCUGAGCCAGCUUUGUGAUGUUCUCUUCUGAACAUCCCCCCAGAUGAAGAAAAUCUCAAGACUGGUAAGGCUGGAAUCCAAGCAAUGUGAAGCUGCUAAAUAAGCAUAAAAGCAAAAGACCCACAUAUAUUGUGAAAAGAGUCAGAAACAUCAAUAAAGGAAAAAAAGAAAAAGGUUAUAGGAUGAUACAUGACAUUAAAUAACUGGAGAGGUGAUACUAGGAUGAUAGUAGAUGAUACUAAAAACUCCUUUUCUGUUCAGACAGAUGGCCUCAAAAGCAUACCAAGAUUAUACAAGAAAAAGCUUUAACUCAUUUUGGAGAAGCUCUUCAUGUACAGGAAUUAGAUGCUUCCAAAGUCUCUGCACAACUCAGUACUGUGAAAAAAUUAUUUUAACAACCUAAUGUUAUAGCCAUUGUUCAAUGCUUCCAGAGAGGGAAGGAAAUCUCAAGCCUCAAAAUCAUUAAGGUUUGAAGAUUUUCUCUAGCCAGAAACUUCAAGACUGACUACUCUCUACUUCUAAAGGAUGGAGCCUAAGAAUCAGAACUUUCAAGAUGCCAAUUCAGAACCUGGCAGAACUUCUUGCAAGGAAGCAGAAACAGGCAGAUGCAUCUCAGACAGAUCUUCUCAGGCAGAUGCGUCAAAUCUGCAUUCCUGACUGACUCAGUAUAUAGCAUUGGCAGGGCAAUGAAGAACAUCUUUGAUAUUCCUCAUCUGUCUUUAUUAGUAAACAGGAGGAAGACAAAACCAAAAGAACAUUUGGAUCAAAUAGCAGUAAACUGUUUUUUUUUAAAAACAAACAAACAAACAAAAACAAAAAAACCUCUGUAUCCAGAACGUAGCAAUGGGUUCACUGAAAUAAGUGCUGCAGCCUGCCGUCUCCAGCACUACAGCUAUCUUUUUGGGAAGCUUUUAUGAAGCAUUAAAGAAUUCUGUGCAGUUCUAAUAACUUUUCUGGCCAGUUCCAUUUCCCCUUCUCCUACCUCCUCUCCAGCAACUCCAGGAGAGGAGAGAGUCAUCACUCAUUAGAAAAAUUACUGUAAAAUAGACCUGACCCACUCUACUGAAGCAUACAUUUCUGGUUUCUAAACCGAAUCUUAAGAGAAUUUGCAUUUAUGAGCAUUUUAGGCUGAGAGGGAAAGUCUAUGGUUCUUUGCUCGUAUCACUACUUUGAUAUGGCUAUGCAACUCACUGUUUCAGACUGAAAGCCUAUUUUUACAAGAAAGUCUGCUGGUGCUGGUCACAUUCAAUUCACGGAAGUUUGCAGAGUUCCACUCUGGGCAGAUAUCACACUCCCCAGCAUAAGGUGAAACUGUGAUGGUAUUCAUACUUGUGUAAAUUCUCACCAAUUCCUCCAUCCACAUAGCGCUAGAAAGAUUAACAGAAGUAAAAAGUCUGAAAGGCUUGGAGAUAAGAGAAGAAUAAUGAAGCUAAUUACAACCAGGUUACACUAGGGGUUUAUCUUCCACAGAAAUACAAAUUUCUUGAAAAUUUCAGUAUUUGUUUUUACUUUUCUUAAUUCUUCCCAGCUAUCUUACAAGUCUGCCGUUCCUGCUCAUUUUCAUCUACUUUUUACUAUUAUAACCUUCUCUGUCCAGACUCUAAAAACGUAGUCUUUCUCCCAAAGUUUUCUAGUUCCUACCCACCGCAUCUGAUUUAGAACAUUUGGAGCAAGCUUCUCUUCCCUUUUCUUCCUGAUUGCUCCUGCUACUGUGGAGCAGAGCAGAAACAAGGUCUCUGUUCUCCAUUCAGUGGCUGUUCUGUAACCUUCCCCAAAAAGUACAAGCCUAUUAGGAGGCAACAGCUCUUCACCUACCCCAAGCAGUCACUGAUCAAUUAAAAACAAACAAACUCCUGACAAUGUACUUUAGGAGAAGAAAAAACCCUAAGGAUUAGAAACAGCAAAACCUGUUUUGUGUUAUCCUUGAGAAAACUAUUAAAUCUUGUUUUGAGAGCGAAA
This is a long non-coding RNA of Rhea pennata, 2809 nucleotides long. RefSeq lists it as uncharacterized. The record is from RefSeq and is a predicted model, not a curated record. The transcript is spliced from 2 exons. Lineage: Eukaryota; Metazoa; Chordata; Aves; Rheiformes; Rheidae.